UGGGGAAUAUUGGUCAAUGGGCGAAAGCCUGAACCAGCAAUGCCGCGUGAGUGAUGAAGGCCUUCGGGUUGUAAAGCUCUGUCAGCGGGAACGAAGAAGCCGGUUAAUACCCGGUGGUGACGGUACCCGCAAAGGAAGCACCGGCUAACUCUGUGCCAGCAGCCGCGGUAAUACAGAGGGUGCAAGCGUUGUUCGGAAUUAUUGGGCGUAAAGCGCAUGUAGGCGGUCUAGCAAGUCGGUCGUGAAAUCCCUCAGCUUAACUGAGGAACUGCGAUCGAAACUACUGGACUAGAGUAUCGGAGGGGGUGGCGGAAUUCCCGGUGUAGAGGUGGAAUUCGUAGAUAUCGGGAGGAACACCUGUGGCGAAGGCGGCCACCUGGAAGAUCACUGACGCUGAGAUGCGAAAGCGUGGGGAGCAAACAGGAUUAGAUACCCAUGUAGUCCCUGAGCGGGCUGGCAAGGCG
RNAcentral lists this ribosomal RNA (464 nucleotides) under uncultured bacterium. RNAcentral describes it as "bacterial SSU rRNA". It matches the Rfam family "Bacterial small subunit ribosomal RNA", at positions 355 to 822 of the family's 1533-position model. The record is from RNAcentral.